GUUUCAGCCGCCGCGGUAAUACGUAGGGGCCGAGCGUUGUCCGGAGUUAUUGGGCGUAAAGCGCGCGCAGGCGGCCUCGCGCGCCCGACGUGAAAGCCCCCGGCUUAACCGGGGAGAGUCGUUGGGGACGGCGGGGCUUGAGGGCGGGAGAGGGUGGUGGAAUUCCCGGUGUAGUGGUGAAAUGCGUAGAGAUCGGGAGGAACACCCGUGGCGAAGGCGGCCACCUGGGCCGACCCUGACGCUGAGGCGCGAAGGCGUGGGGAGCGAACGGGAUUAGAUACCCCCGUAGUCC
This 292-nucleotide ribosomal RNA is filed under the name uncultured bacterium. RNAcentral describes it as "partial 16S ribosomal RNA". It matches the Rfam family "Bacterial small subunit ribosomal RNA", at positions 505 to 796 of the family's 1533-position model. The record is from RNAcentral.